UGUCUAGAAAUAUUGAUUCACAUAAUUUACUAUUGAAUCACAUUAUUUACUAUUAGGGGAAGUGGUGCAAGUUUGAUAAUACUUCCAUGACUAAAUUAAAAAUAAAAAAAAGUUGGAGGUAUUGUACUGUAAUUUUUCGAGCCCCAAAACGUGCAAUUAUCGAAACUAUAUUUUUCUAUAAAUAGAAGCUCAUUCUUCCUUCAUUUCUCACCAAUUCAAAAAAGCUUUAGAGCGAUUAUUAUAGAGAGAAAUUAUAGAAAGAAGAAGAGAAGUCUGCU
RNAcentral lists this long non-coding RNA (278 nucleotides) under Panax ginseng (ginseng). Its description in RNAcentral is "long non-coding RNA (PGIN_LNC014530)". The record is from RNAcentral. Lineage: Eukaryota; Viridiplantae; Streptophyta; Magnoliopsida; Apiales; Araliaceae.